CUCAAAAUUCACUCGCUCUCAAAAAAUUGCUCGCUCGAAAUUCACUCGCUCCCAAGUGAAUUUCGAGCGAGCGAUUUUUCGGGAGCGAGUGAAUUUUUG
RNAcentral lists this microRNA precursor (99 nucleotides) under Mayetiola destructor (Hessian fly). RNAcentral's name for it is "microRNA mir-233". Lineage: Eukaryota; Metazoa; Arthropoda; Insecta; Diptera; Cecidomyiidae. The record is from RNAcentral.